UGGAGAGAGCCACCAGGAAAUACUGGCGAGA
This 31-nucleotide non-coding RNA is filed under the name Mus musculus (house mouse). Lineage: Eukaryota; Metazoa; Chordata; Mammalia; Rodentia; Muridae. The record is from RNAcentral.